Oreochromis aureus is the source of this 1270-nucleotide RNA transcript. RefSeq lists it as uncharacterized. The record is from RefSeq and is a predicted model, not a curated record. The transcript has 9 exons. NCBI's taxonomy places the organism in Eukaryota, Metazoa, Chordata, Actinopteri, Cichliformes, Cichlidae.
AAGGACAUGCCGCGAACGAGACAUACAAGGCGGUGAGGCUACCGCGGAUCGACCGCUGUUUGCUAACGCAGAGGUCAAUCGUGGAUGAGGAAAAGCGAAGGCAGGGCGUGAGGUGAACUGAAUUUCAGGGACUGGGACUUCCUGGAAUCACUAAGAGGAGGGACGUAUCACAGAGAAGGUGCCUGGCUUUCUACGGGUUUUAAACCAAACUGAAAACCCCUCCGUCUCUAGCUUCAUGUCUGCCAGUUAAAAGAAGAAAUAACAACAGGAGAAGAUGAUCUGCAGGAUCCUGCUGCUCAUCAUCCUCCCCUCAUGUGUCUGUGGAUCAUUUGUAGUCAAUGUGACACAGACCUCCUAUCAGGCAGAGGAGAACCACAACAUCACACUGGAGUGGACGUUCACCACCAAACCUGACAGAUCCAACAAAACCCUCAACAUCUUUUGUGAAGUCUUCAUCAGUGAUAACGUCUCAGUCCUGUAUCAUGUUCAUGAAGGUGUUGAGGUGUCAGAGUCUCAGGAUGCAAAGUUUUCAGGACGAGUCCAGAGUGACAAAGACGCCCUCAGAGAAGGACGAAUCAGACUUCAACUGUCCAGACUCAGGACUGAUGACUCGGGUCUGUACCUGUGUGAGGUCAACACUGAUUAUGGCUUCAGUGUUGGAAGAUGUCGACUCAACGUCACUGGAGCCAAAAAUUCAAAGGAGAAGUACUGGGAGAAAGUUAAAAAUGCUUUAGCAGGUGGACAGAUUGCAGUUAUAAUACUUGCUGGAUUGAUGGUCCUAUUAGGUGAAAUAGUUGACCCUAAAUUCCUCAUUAACAAAGGAGUAAGAGAAGAGGCCGCAUCAGAUGCAGAUGAAACAACAGUUCCUCUUCAAUUAUUGAUCUAGAGGAGAGCUGCUGAAACAGGUGUGGCUGGUAAGAUAAGUUCUGUGAGGCUACUCAGGUGUUUAUAAUGAAAAGACCGACAGAUUCUGGGAAAUACUUCAAAUGACCAGCAGACGAUGGCUCAGAGGGCUGUGAAGUCACACAUCUAGAAGCAUAAGGCCUGCUGGUGAAGCCUAGAUGUUCUGCAACAAGAGUGUUUGUGUGUGAGAGAAAGCCAUGGAGGAGAAUCUGGAUUUACUAAUGGAUCGACUUCCCUGAAGGCUCUUUGUAAAUAGAGGCAGUGAAUUAUCCCCUACUUGUAAAGUCUGUAAAUACUUUAUAUCUGUGUGCACUGUAAAUAAACUCUCUAAACCUGCUUUACUGAGUCCAGCCUGCCUUUUGACCAU